Molecule: long non-coding RNA, 67 nt
Filed under: Canis lupus familiaris (dog)
Lineage: Eukaryota; Metazoa; Chordata; Mammalia; Carnivora; Canidae
Description: lncRNA (ENSCAFG00030003363.1)
Source: RNAcentral
GUCUCAUUCCCUGGAUGUUUCUGGUUCAGGAACAAGAAGGAAGAGAGGGGUAAAAGGAUCACCUAUC